GACAUGUGUAGAGAUGCUGAGGCAUGUUGGUGACAUUUUAAAUCACUAUGGCUAUAGAACAGUAAUCUCUCUAGUGCGGUAAUGACUCAGUGUCAAUACAUAGAUAUAUGUUACUGGAGACGAUGUAUAAAGGUGAAUAUAUUUCCAUAUUUGACAUUGAUAUUUAUAUUUACAGUAUAAUUAAGUUAUUAUACCACAGAUGCUGUGGGAUGAGGUUGUGUGUGUUUUGUGUAGAAAAUAUGAGAUGAGGUUGUGUGUGUGUUGUGUAGAUGAUACGGAAUCAGGUUGUGUGAGUGUUGUGUAGAUGAUAUGGGAUCAGGUUGUGUGAGUGUUGUGUAGAUGAUACGGGAUGAGGUUGUGUGAGUGUUGUGUAGAUGAUACAGGAUGAGGUUGUGUAGAUGAUACGGGAUGAGGUCGUGUAGAUGAUACGGUAUCAGGUUGUGUAUGUGUUGUGUAGAUGAUAAGGUAUGAGGUUGUGUGAGCGUUGUGUAGAUGAUACGGGAUGAGAUUGUGUAGAUUAUAUGGGAUCAAGUUGUGUGAGUGUUGUGUAGAUGAUAAGGUAUGAGGCUGUGUAGAUGAUACGGGAUGAGAUUGUGUAGAUGAUACGGGAUGAGGUUGUGUGAGCGUUGUGUAGAUGAUACGGGAUGAGAUUGUGUGAGUGUUGUGUAGAUGAUACGGGAUGAGAUUGUGUAGAUGAUACGGGAUGAGGUUGUGUGAGUGUUGUGUAGAUGAUACGGGAUGAGGUUGUGUAGAUGAUACGGGAUGAGGUUGUGUGAGCGUUGUGUAGAUGAUACGGGAUGAGGUUGUGUAGAUGAUACGGGAUGAGGUUGUGUAGAUGAUACGGGAUGAGGUUGUGUAGAUGAUACGGGAUGAGGUUGUGUAGAUGAUACGGGAUGAGGUUGUGUAGAUGAUACGGGAUGAGCGUUGUGUAGAUGAUAUGGGAUGAGGUUGUGUGAGCGUUGUGUAGAUGAUACGGGAUGAGGUUUGUGAGCGUUGUGUAGAUGAUACGGGAUGAGGUUGUGUGAGUGUUGUGUAGAUGAUACGGGAUGAGAUUGUGUAGAUGAUACGGGAUGAGGUGGUGUAGAUGAUACGGGAUGAGGUUGUGUAGAUGAUACGGGAUGAGGUUGUGUAGAUGAUACGGGAUGAGGUUGUGUGAGCGUUGUGUAGAUGAUACGGGAUGAGAUUGUGUAGAUGAUACGGGAUGAGGUUGUGUGAGCGUUGUGUAGAUGAUACGGGAUGAGGUUGUGUGUGAGCGUUGUGUAGAUGAUACGGGAUGAGGUUGUGUAGAUGAUACGGGAUGAGGUUGUGUGAGCGUUGUGUAGAUGAUACGGGAUGAGGUUGUGUAGAUGAUACGGGAUGAGGUUGUGUAGAUGAUACGGGAUGAGGUUGUGUGAGUGUUGUGUAGAUGAUACGGGAUGAGGUUGUGUGAGUGUUGUGUAGAUGAUACGGGAUGAGGCUGUGUGAGCGUUGUGUAGAUGAUACGGGAUGAGGUUGUGUGAGUGUUGUGUAGAUGAUACGGGAUGAGAUUGUGUAGAUGAUACGGGAUGAGGUGGUGUGAGCGUUGUGUAGAUGAUACGGGAUGAGUUUGUGUAGAUGAUACGGGAUGAGGUUGUGUGAGUGUUGUGUAGAUGAUACGGGAUGAGAUUGUGUAGAUGAUACGGAUGAGGUGGUGUAGAUGAUACGGGAUGAGUUGUGUGAGCGUUGUGUAGAUGAUACGGGAUGAGGUUGUGUAGAUGAUACGGGAUGAGGUUGUGUGAGCGUUGUGUAGAUGAUACGGGAUGAGGUUGUGUGAGCGUUGUGUAGAUGAUACGGGAUGAGGUUGUGUGAGCGUUGUGUAGAUGAUACGGGAUGAGGUUGUGUGAGCGUUGUGUAGAUGAUACGGGAUGAGGUUGCGUAGAUGAUACCGGAUGAGGUUACGUGAGCGUUGUGUAGAUGAUAUGGGAUGAGGUUGUGUGAGUAUUGUGUAGAUGAUACGGGAUGGGGUUGUGUGAGUGUUGUGUAGAUGAUACGGGAUGAGGUUGUGUAGAUGAUACGGGAUGAGGUUGCGUGAGCGUUGUGUAGAUGAUACGGGAUGAGGUUGUGUAGAUGAUACGGGAUGAGGUUGUGUGAGCGUUGUGUAGAUGAUACGGGAUGAGGUUGUGUGAGCGUUGUGUAGAUGAUACGGGAUGAGGUUGUGUAGAUGAUACGGGAUGAGGUUGUGUGAGCGUUGUGUAGAUGAUACGGGAUCAUAUUUGGAUAAGCCAUCAUUUGAUUCUUUGAAGCAGUGUCUAUUAAUGAAGUUGAUAUCCUUGAAUAAAACCACAAGGAAAAAAUAGCUUUUUCAAUCAUUUAUUAUCAAUAGAUGUGAUUUUCUUGUGUGGAAAAAGUAAGUACACUUGCCUCAGAAGCUAGUAUUGCCCCCUUUAGCAGAAAAAAUUUCUUGUAGGCGCUUCGCAUAAUUGUCCACUAGUCCCUGACAUCAGCUUGCUGGAACUUUUGACCACUUGUCCAUGCAAUAUUCUUUCAGUUGCAAGAUGUUUGAGGGUUUUCUGCAUGUACUGCCUGUUUCAAAUCCCCAACAUUAUUUCAAUAGGAUUCAAAUCCUGGCUUUGACUAGGACCUUCCAUAAACCUCUAUUUCUUCUUUCUGAGCCAUUUCUUGGUGGAUUUGUUAGUGUGUUUAGGAUCAUUAUCCUGUUGAAAGGUCCACUUUCAGUUCAACUUCAACUUUUGGAUAGAUGGCCCUACAUUAUCUUCAAGCACUCUUUGAUAUGAUGCAGAAUUCAUAGAUGAAUCAAUGAAUGCAAGCUGUACAGUACCUGAGGCAGAGAAACAACCCUAAACCAUAACAUUUCCACCACUGUGCUUCACAGUUGGUAUGAGGUGCUUCUCCUGAAAAGCUGUCUUUGGUCUGCGCCAAACAUGUCUGCUGUUACUGUUGUUAUCUUUGAUUUGUCUGUCCAGAACACAUUAUUUCAAAAGGCCUGGUCUUUGCCUAUAUGCUCAUUGGCAAACUGUGGUCUUUCUUUAAUCUUCUUUUUAGACAGCAAAGGCUUUUUCUUGGCACAUCUCCCAUGCC
Ictalurus punctatus (channel catfish) is the source of this 3057-nucleotide long non-coding RNA. Lineage: Eukaryota; Metazoa; Chordata; Actinopteri; Siluriformes; Ictaluridae. The record is from Ensembl.